ACACCAACACCAGCACCAACACAAACAUUAACAACAACUUCACACAAAACACAACCCCUCUCUCUCUCUCUCUAAAAACAGAUUUCUCUCUCUCUCUCUCUCUCUCUAUCUGCAUGAAAAUAAUAAUCGCACUGCCGGCCAUGAUUCCAAUUCAUCGGCCACUCUUUCCUAUAAAACUAGAAUAGUCUCUGUUUAUUUUUUUCAGUGGUGUAUAAAAGAAAAAAACUUCGUCUUUUUGAACAUUUUUUUUUUGUAGUUGAAUUUGAGCGAGUAUGGAGAAAAUGCUGGAUCUUAAUCUGAGUGUAGCGUCGCAGAAUUCAGGAAAACUUUCUGGAAGUAGUCGAAUGGAGAGUUCUGGAACUGGGAGCUUUAACUCCUCUUCCGUAGUCAACACCGCCGGAGCCGGUGUCUGUGCCGGCGGCGCCGGCGACGAUGACUCUACUUCCAACUACGACGCCGCUUUUGGUUACAGCUUCAGCAUUCUGAGGAAGGACAAAGAGCUCGAUGUCGAUCGUGGAGGAGGAGGAGAAGAAGAAGAAGAGGACGAGGACGACUGCGGUGUUCGCAACGACCGGACGAUACAGUUGUUUCCGGCGGCCGGAGGUGGAGCAGUUUCCGACGUGGCGGGGUGGUUGGAUCUCACUACGACUUUCGGUGAAGCCGCGGAGCAGAGGAUCGUACCUCAGCAGCAGCAGCAACAGAAGCCUCUGGUCAAGAAGAGCCGACGUGGACCAAGGUCUCGGAGCUCACAGUAUCGUGGCGUUACGUUUUAUCGAAGAACUGGUCGAUGGGAAUCGCAUAUUUGGGAUUGUGGAAAGCAAGUUUACUUGGGAGGAUUUGACACUGCUCAUGCUGCUGCUAGGGCGUAUGAUCGGGCUGCGAUCAAGUUUCGCGGAGUAGAAGCUGAUAUCAAUUUCAAUAUCAGUGAUUAUGAUGAUGAUAUUAAGCAGAUGAGUCAUUUUAGCAAGGAUGAAUUUGUGCAUAUCCUGCGGCGCCAGAGCACCGGGUUUUCGAGGGGAAGCUCCAAGUAUAGGGGAGUGACACUGCACAAAUGUGGUCGAUGGGAAGCUCGUAUGGGGCAGUUUCUGGGCAAGAAGUAUAUAUAUCUCGGGCUAUUCGAUAGUGAGAUUGAGGCUGCAAGGGCAUAUGACAAGGCUGCCAUCAAAUGCAAUGGAAGGGAAGCAGUCACCAACUUUGAGCCUUGCUCAUAUGGAGGGGAAAUUUUUGCUGAGGCCGAUAAUGGAGAAGGCAAUCAAAGUCUUGAUCUUCAGUUAGGAAUUUCACUCCCUUCUUUUGCUGAUCGAGAAAAGGAGAACGUCAAUGUGAGCGGUUUUCAUUUUCAGCAUGGCUGGGAUGACAGGCCUAUUGAUGGGAGAUCAAGGAUUGAGAAUUCUUCUUCAGCAACAGUUAGGGCUCAACCGUCUCAUCGACCUGUGGAAGCAUCUGAGCAUGCUCCUAUCUGGAGUGGCGUGAAUUCCAGUUUCUUUUCUCUGUAUAAGGAAAGAGCAAUGGAGAAGAGGACGGAAGUUGAUUCCUUGCCAAACUGGCCACGACAAAUCCAAGGUCCUUAUGGUGGGGUGACUCAAGUGCCGCUCUUCUCUACUGCAGCAUCAUCAGGAUUCCCUUCUUUAACAACUACUUCUCCAUCAGCUGCUGUUGGUCAACUUCAUUUUUCUAACACAACUAUUCAUCCACCCCCAUUUUUUGCCAACAAUCACUUACAUCACCAACAUAUCCCAUUUCUACUGCAGGAGCUGAACCAAGUACCAGGUAGAACUUAGCAAAAGCCCAUAAAUCUUCUAUUUUGUAUUAAAUGUAGAAGAUGGGUAGGGAAACCAGGAAAACAAGAAUGGUAAUUGAAUUUGUUAGUUCCAGUCAUAGAUUCAUAUGAUUCAAUAGGUUGGUAAUCUUUUCUUCCGUUUUCUUCCCUGUGUGUCCUCCAUAUAUGACCGAUCUGUUGGUGCAUUAAGAGGCUCUAAACAAGGCUUCAAAUGUAUGUCAUGUGAAACGAUUUGAAAAGAAAAUAGUUUCACUCCAAAUGUUUAUUGGUAAGGUUGUGUGUACAUUUACCUUA
Molecule: RNA transcript, 2074 nt
Organism: Quercus lobata
Lineage: Eukaryota; Viridiplantae; Streptophyta; Magnoliopsida; Fagales; Fagaceae
Gene name: APETALA2-like protein 3
Exons: 10
Source: RefSeq, a predicted model, not a curated record